RNAcentral lists this unclassified non-coding RNA (281 nucleotides) under uncultured fungus. Its description in RNAcentral is "partial contains 5.8S ribosomal RNA, internal transcribed spacer 2, and large subunit ribosomal RNA". The stretch from base 1 to 52 matches the Rfam family "5.8S ribosomal RNA", at positions 103 to 154 of the family's 154-position model. The record is from RNAcentral. Lineage: Eukaryota; Fungi.
AACGCACAUUGCGCCCUUUGGUAUUCCGAAGGGCAUGCCUGUUCGAGCGUCAUUAUCACCCCCUCAAGCCCCGUGCUUGGUGUUGGACGGUUCGGUGGAGAGUCACACCUCCCACCCGUCCUAAAGACAAUGACGGCGGCCUCGUGGAACCCCCGGUACACUGAGCUUCUUAACUGAGCACGUAUCGGAUCAAGGGAUCCCGGGACACGGUCAUCUCCCCGCCCGGGGAAAUUUUUCUCAAGGUUGACCUCGGAUCAGGUAGGAAUACGCGCUGAACUUAA